Molecule: long non-coding RNA, 522 nt
Filed under: Vulpes vulpes (red fox)
Lineage: Eukaryota; Metazoa; Chordata; Mammalia; Carnivora; Canidae
Description: lncRNA (ENSVVUG00000029368.1)
Source: RNAcentral
CUGCAGUUGUCCUUCUGGGUGAUUGGAGUUUGUGAAGAUAAAUGGUAAACUUACACAUUGAUCUUUUUUUAUACUUAGCCAGCACCCACGCUCUUCAUUUUAUUCUAUACUGAAGCAAGUUGUCACUAAAAUAUUGAGGCAAAAUGAUGAAAUUGAUCAACAUGGAGCUGAAAGAAAUCUACCAAAUACUAAAUAUUUAUGAUUGUAACAUCAAUUAAAGAAGGAAAUGACUAAGUGACCAGGAAAGUUCAGCAUCUCUCAGGUGCAAUUGAAAAACUCAACAAAAGCACACGUUGUUUACAAAUUUCACAUAAAACUUGGUGGCCUAGUUGCUUGUUUAGAGGAAUUUUUGCUGCCCCAAACCACUAUCCCUUGUCCUCCUUAUGGGAUAUACAUUGCCUCAAAGAGAUACAUUACAGAUUUUGAGCAUCUGAAGCCUCAGUAAAUAUAAGAACAUGCUACUUUUGGCCAACAAAAACUUAAUCCUGAAGAAGUUUUGGACAUACAAUUUAUUUCAUAAAC